RNAcentral lists this ribosomal RNA (251 nucleotides) under uncultured bacterium. RNAcentral's name for it is "partial 16S ribosomal RNA". It matches the Rfam family "Bacterial small subunit ribosomal RNA", at positions 524 to 776 of the family's 1533-position model. The record is from RNAcentral.
UACAGAGGGUGCAAGCGUUGCUCGGAAUUAUUGGGCGUAAAGAGCUUGUAGGCGGUUUGUCGCGUCUGCUGUGAAAUUUCGGGGCUCAACCCCGAACUUGCAGUGGGUACGGGCAGACUAGAGUGUGGUAGGGGAGACUGGAAUUCCUGGUGUAGCGGUGAAAUGCGCAGAUAUCAGGAGGAACACCGGUGGCGAAGGCGGUGUCUGGGCCGCACUGACGCUGAGUGCGCGAAGCGUGGGGAGCAAACAGG